Molecule: unclassified non-coding RNA, 400 nt
Filed under: uncultured fungus
Lineage: Eukaryota; Fungi
Description: sequence contains ITS1
Source: RNAcentral
CCGUCAAUUCAUUUAAGUUUUAGCCUUGCGGCCGUACUCCCCAGGCGGGGCGCUUAAUGCGUUAGCUACGACACAGAAACCGUGGAAAGGUCCCUACAUCUAGCGCCCAACGUUUACGGCGUGGACUACCAGGGUAUCUAAUCCUGUUCGCUCCCCACGCUUUCGCUCCUCAGCGUCAGUUACGGCCCAGAGAUCUGCCUUCGCCAUCGGUGUUCCUCCUGAUAUCUGCGCAUUCCACCGCUACACCAGGAAUUCCAAUCUCCCCUACCGCACUCUAGUCUGCCCGUACCCACUGCAAGCCCGAGGUUGAGCCUCGGGAUUUCACAGCAGACGCGACAAACCGCCUACGAGCUCUUUACGCCCAAUAAUUCCGGACAACGCUUGCACCCUACGUAUUACC